UUAAAUAAAUAAAUACAUCAUUAAAUAAUUAAUUAAAUAUGUCAUUAAUUAAUUAAAAUUGGAAUUAAAUAUUUCAUUAAUUAAUUAAAAUUGGAAUUAAAUAUGUCAUUAAUUAAUUAAAAUUGGAAUUAAAUACUUAAAUGUGUUAUUAAAUAAAUAUAUCAUUAAAUAAUUAAAUAUGUCAUUAAUUAAUUAAAAUUGGCAUUAAAUAUGUCAUUAAUUAAUUAAAAUUGGCAUUAAAUAUGUCAUUAAUUAAUUAAAAUUGGAAUUAAAUACAUAAAUGUGUUAUUAAAUAUGUCAUUAAUUUAUUAAAAUAACAAUUAUUUUAAGUAAAAAACAUAUUUCAUUAUUUCACUAUUUAAUUAAUUAUUUCAUGGUCCUUGCGUUGCAGUGGAUCAUGAAUUUAUUUUAUCUGUCAACCUCGCCCGUCAAAGUCGGUGGGCGGAUCCUAACACCUGAUUGGUUACCCUGCACAUCAAGUCAAGGCAAAUCGAUUCCAGAUAAUGGAUUGACGCAGAGCUUGUGAACACAUUCCGAUACACUGGGUGGCGCUAUUCACCUCUACGUUGGUUUGGAUACUCAAUAAAACAAAACUUUAUUAGCAACCGCUAAAGACUCGGUCCUCUUUCCCAAAUGUUGAUACAUGCGGUGCAAGACAAAUUUUCCUUUAGCAUUUCCUUUAGCAUCUACUCGGCGCGCCACGGCUCGUCUCGGUUUAGUUGUUUUUCCAUUACAUUGAGUACCACCUCAUCGUGGGUUGAGUCGUCAUAGCACGGUGGCCCGAAAGUCCCUUACCGUCAUUUUUGUGCGACACAAACGCAAUGCAACAAUGUACAUGGAGGCGAUAGUACACCUGCUGCUCGGUCUGUGGCUUUCUGUCAGAUUCAGAGUAACAGAAGAGUCGGAGAAAGCUGAGAGCGGCGAGUCGAAACACUCAGGAGACACACAGGAGAGUUUGGGAGGCGAUACAGCAGUAUCAAGCUGAAGACAAGAGGAUAUGAACGAGACGACAUAUAAGGAUGCUCUCUGAUGAGACUUCAUGGGAUUUACCUGAAGCAGCAGCACAUGAGCCUGCAGUGGCACAAGGUGUAGAGGAGGAGGGCAGAGAUGUACAGGAUGCACUGAUGCACUACGUGUCAUGCAAAAGUUAAAAGUUGUUCUUCUUGUUAUACUUCUGUUUUUCUGUCCCCGGACCGCUAUUGUUUUCUUUAAUGCAAUUCUGACAAUAAACUUUUGUAGAUGUG
Amphiprion ocellaris (clown anemonefish) is the source of this 1244-nucleotide long non-coding RNA. RefSeq lists it as uncharacterized. The transcript is spliced from 2 exons. Lineage: Eukaryota; Metazoa; Chordata; Actinopteri; Pomacentridae. The record is from RefSeq and is a predicted model, not a curated record.